Molecule: long non-coding RNA, 281 nt
Filed under: Mytilus galloprovincialis (Mediterranean mussel)
Lineage: Eukaryota; Metazoa; Mollusca; Bivalvia; Mytilida; Mytilidae
Source: RNAcentral
GGCCAUAUGCCGACAUUUAAUUGUAAACUGCUUAGUCAUAUUAGUGCUAUAUUAUUUGGUCUCAGUCCGGUGGAGAGUUGUCUCGUUAGCAAUCAUACCAUUACUCAAAUAUUACUCGGACCCCCAAACGGCUGUUUUGCAAGACAAGCUAGGCCCAUGAGCGUAGGAAGUCAAGACUCAGAGUAAUCUCGGACGGGCACAAGUUAACUGGUUUUAGACCCUUGCAAAAAAAAAGGCAAUCAACACAUUCAAUUUUCUAGACCGAAAAUCAAUCUGAAAUU